This 520-nucleotide ribosomal RNA is filed under the name Porolithon onkodes. RNAcentral describes it as "eukaryotic LSU rRNA". It matches the Rfam family "Eukaryotic large subunit ribosomal RNA", at positions 1289 to 1828 of the family's 3401-position model. The record is from RNAcentral. Lineage: Eukaryota; Rhodophyta; Florideophyceae; Corallinales; Porolithaceae.
CUCACCUGCCGAAUGAACUAGCCCUGAAAAUGGAUGACGCUUAAGCGGGUUGCCGACACCAGACCGUUUCGAUAAGAAGCGAUCGAAAUGAGUAGGAGGGCGUGGCGGUUUUGUUGUGAAGGAUGAGACGCAAGUCUAUCUGAAACGGCCGCUAGUGCAKAUCUUGGUGGUAGUARCAAAUAUUCAAGCGAGAUCCUUGAAGGGCGAAGCGGGGAAGGGUUCCACGCGAACAUUGAUUGGGCGUGGGUGAGUCGUUCCUAAGCCGGGUGGUAAUCGUUCUUCGAUCGGCGAAAGGGAAGCGGGUUAAAAUUCUCGCACACGGAUGUGGAGGCGGUGACGCAAAUUGAGGUGGAGACGUUAGCGGUGGCACUGGGCAGAGUUUUCUUUUCUGUUUAACCUGUGAGUGCACUCUGUGGAAUCCGAUUAUCGGGCGAAACAKGUGCUUAUGGGAAGAGCUGUCGGGGCGUCCCCGGCGUCCAGUACKCCACCGAUAGCCCUUGAAACUCCAUCUGCAAUGAAA